RNAcentral lists this long non-coding RNA (255 nucleotides) under Elaeis guineensis (African oil palm). RNAcentral describes it as "long non-coding RNA (EGUI_LNC069099)". Lineage: Eukaryota; Viridiplantae; Streptophyta; Magnoliopsida; Arecales; Arecaceae. The record is from RNAcentral.
GGUUCUUCCGCAACAAAAUCCGGCGACUCCGGUCGCCGGCGAGCAUGCACACUGGCAUGGAAAGGAAGGGGGAGAAGAGAGGAAGGGGAGGAGGCUUACCUCUGAUACCGGUGAGGCUUUUCCGGCGAGCAAUUGGACGGCACAGGGACGGAUCUUCCACGAGAAUUUUCCGGCGAUUGCCGCCGACUGAGCUUGUGAUCUUUGGUGGAAGGGAGAGAGGAGGGAUCUCCUCCUUAAAUAGAACCGGAGGGAGCU